RNAcentral lists this ribosomal RNA (460 nucleotides) under uncultured bacterium. RNAcentral describes it as "partial 16S ribosomal RNA". It matches the Rfam family "Bacterial small subunit ribosomal RNA", at positions 338 to 795 of the family's 1533-position model. The record is from RNAcentral.
CCUACGGGAGGCAGCAGUGAGGAAUAUUGGUCAAUGGGCUGACGCCUGAACCAGCCAAGUCGCGUGAGGGAAGACUGCCCUAUGGGUUGUAAACCUCUUUUGUCAGGGAGCAACGCCGGCUACGUGUAGCCGUACUGAGAGUACCUGAAGAAAAAGCAUCGGCUACCUCCGUGCCAGCAGCCGCGGUAAUACGGAGGAUGCGAGCGUGAUCCGGAUUUAUUGGGUUUAAAGGGUGCGUAGACGGAAUGCCAAGUCAGCGGUAAAAUCGCGGGGCUCAACCUCGCUCCGCCGUUGAAACUGGCGUUCUUGAGUGGGCGAGAAGUAUGCGGAAUGCGUGGUGUAGCGGUGAAAUGCAUAGAUAUCACGCAGAACUCCGAUUGCGAAGGCAGCAUACCGGCGCCCAACUGACGCUGAAGCACGAAAGCGUGGGUAUCGAACAGGAUUAGAUACCCGGGUAGUC